GACAGAGGGUGCAAACGUUGUUCGGAAUUACUGGGCGUAAAGCGCGUGUAGGCGGCUAUGUAAGUCGGGCGUGAAAUCCCACGGCUCAACCGUGGAAGUGCACCCGAAACUGCGUAGCCAGAGUCCUGGAGAGGAAGGUGGAAUGCUUGGUGUAGAGGUGAAAUUCGUAGAUAUCAAGCGGAACACCGGUGGCGAAGGCGGGUCUCUGGGCAAUUCCUGACGCUGAGGCGCGAAAGCGUGGGGAGCAAACGGG
RNAcentral lists this ribosomal RNA (253 nucleotides) under uncultured bacterium. Its description in RNAcentral is "partial 16S ribosomal RNA". It matches the Rfam family "Bacterial small subunit ribosomal RNA", at positions 524 to 776 of the family's 1533-position model. The record is from RNAcentral.